AGCAUGUGUGUUAGUGGAAGCGUCUGGAAAGGCGCGCGAUACAGGGUGACAGCCCCGUACACAAAAGCGCAUGUGCUGUGAGCUCGAUGAGUAGGGCGGGACACGUGGUAUCCUGUCUGAAUAUGGGGGGACCAUCCUCCAAGGCUAAAUACUCCUGACUGACCGAUAGUGAACCAGUACCGUGAGGGAAAGGCGAAAAGAACCCCGGCGAGGGGAGUGAAAAAGAACCUGAAACCGUGUACGUACAAGCAGUGGGAGCACAGGUUUACCUGUGUGACUGCGUACCUUUUGUAUAAUGGGUCAGCGACUUAUAUUCUGUAGCAAGGUUAACCGUAUAGGGGAGCCGUAGGGAAACCGAGUCUUAACCGGGCGUUAAGUUGCAGGGUAUAGACCCGAAACCCGGUGAUCUAGCCAUGGGCAGGUUGAAGGUUGGGUAACACUAACUGGAGGACCGAACCGACUAAUGUUGAAAAAUUAGCGGAUGACCUGUGGCUGGGGGUGAAAGGCCAAUCAAACCGGGAGAUAGCUGGUUCUCCCCGAAAGCUAUUUAGGUAGCGCCUCGUGAAUUCAUCUCCGGGGGUAGAGCACUGUUUCGGCUAGGGGGCCAUCCCGGCUUACCAACCCGAUGCAAACUGCGAAUACCGGAGAAUGUUAUCACGGGAGACACACGGCGGGUGCUAACGUCCGUCGUGAAGAGGGAAACAACCCAGACCGCCAGCUAAGGUCCCAAAGUCAUGGUUAAGUGGGAAACGAUGUGGGAAGGCCCAGACAGCCAGGAUGUUGGCUUAGAAGCAGCCAUCAUUUAAAGAAAGCGUAAUAGCUCACUGGUCGAGUCGGCCUGCGCGGAAGAUGUAACGGGGCUAAACCAUGCACCGAAGCUGCGGCAGCGAACGUAUCACCCAAGACAACUUUACGGAGUUGACGAUUGACGGAGCGAAGCGACGUCAAAGCGUUCAUUAAAGUCGAGUUGGCUUAGGGAUACGUUCGUUGGGUAGGGGAGCGUUCUGUAAGCCUGUGAAGGUGUGUCGUGAGGCAUGCUGGAGGUAUCAGAAGUGCGAAUGCUGACAUAAGUAACGAUAAAGCGGGUGAAAAGCCCGCUCGCCGGAAGACCAAGGGUUCCUGUCCAACGUUAAUCGGGGCAGGGUGAGUCGACCCCUAAGGCGAGGCCGAAAGGCGUAGUCGAUGGGAAACGGGUUAAUAUUCCCGUACUUGGUGUUACUGCGAAGGGGGGACGGAGAAGGCUAUGUUGGCCGGGCGACGGUUGUCCCGGUUUAAGCGUGUAGGUGUGUGUUCCAGGUAAAUCCGGUUCACUUUAACACUGAGGCGUGACGACGAGGCACUACGGUGCUGAAGCAACAAAUGCCCUGCUUCCAGGAAAAGCCUCUAAGCAUCAGGUAACACGAAAUCGUACCCCAAACCGACACAGGUGGUCAGGUAGAGAAUACCAAGGCGCUUGAGAGAACUCGGGUGAAGGAACUAGGCAAAAUGGUGCCGUAACUUCGGGAGAAGGCACGCUGACACGUAGGUGAAGUGAUUUACUCAUGGAGCUGAAGUCAGUCGAAGAUACCAGCUGGCUGCAACUGUUUAUUAAAAACACAGCACUGUGCAAACACGAAAGUGGACGUAUACGGUGUGACGCCUGCCCGGUGCCGGAAGGUUAAUUGAUGGGGUCAGCGCAAGCGAAGCUCCUGAUCGAAGCCCCGGUAAACGGCGGCCGUAACUAUAACGGUCCUAAGGUAGCGAAAUUCCUUGUCGGGUAAGUUCCGACCUGCACGAAUGGCGUAAUGAUGGCCAGGCUGUCUCCACCCGAGACUCAGUGAAAUUGAACUCGCUGUGAAGAUGCAGUGUACCCGCGGCAAGACGGAAAGACCCCGUGAACCUUUACUAUAGCUUGACACUGAACAUUGAGCCUUGAUGUGUAGGAUAGGUGGGAGGCUUUGAAGUGUGGACGCCAGUCUGCAUGGAGCCGACCUUGAAAUACCACCCUUUAAUGUUUGAUGUUCUAACGUGGACCCGUAAUCCGGGUUGCGGACAGUGUCUGGUGGGUAGUUUGACUGGGGCGGUCUCCUCCUAAAGAGUAACGGAGGAGCACGAAGGUUGGCUAAUCCUGGUCGGACAUCAGGAGGUUAGUGCAAUGGCAUAAGCCAGCUUGACUGCGAGCGUGACGGCGCGAGCAGGUGCGAAAGCAGGUCAUAGUGAUCCGGUGGUUCUGAAUGGAAGGGCCAUCGCUCAACGGAUAAAAGGUACUCCGGGGAUAACAGGCUGAUACCGCCCAAGAGUUCAUAUCGACGGCGGUGUUUGGCACCUCGAUGUCGGCUCAUCACAUCCUGGGGCUGAAGUAGGUCCCAAGGGUAUGGCUGUUCGCCAUUUAAAGUGGUACGCGAGCUGGGUUUAGAACGUCGUGAGACAGUUCGGUCCCUAUCUGCCGUGGGCGCUGGAGAACUGAGGGGGGCUGCUCCUAGUACGAGAGGACCGGAGUGGACGCAUCACUGGUGUUCGGGUUGUCAUGCCAAUGGCACUGCCCGGUAGCUAAAUGCGGAAGAGAUAAGUGCUGAAAGCAUCUAAGCACGAAACUUGCCCCGAGAUGAGUUCUCCCUGAGACUUAGAGUCUCCUGAAGGAACGUUGAAGACGACGACGUUGAUAGGCCGGGUGUGUAAGCGCAGCGAUGCGUUGAGCUAACCGGUACUAAUGAACCGUGAGGCUUAACCUUACA
RNAcentral lists this ribosomal RNA (2714 nucleotides) under Salmonella enterica subsp. enterica serovar Typhimurium. RNAcentral's name for it is "partial 23S ribosomal RNA". It matches the Rfam family "Bacterial large subunit ribosomal RNA", at positions 319 to 2925 of the family's 2925-position model. Lineage: Bacteria; Pseudomonadati; Pseudomonadota; Gammaproteobacteria; Enterobacterales; Enterobacteriaceae. The record is from RNAcentral.